RNAcentral lists this ribosomal RNA (466 nucleotides) under uncultured bacterium. Its description in RNAcentral is "bacterial SSU rRNA". It matches the Rfam family "Bacterial small subunit ribosomal RNA", at positions 331 to 797 of the family's 1533-position model. The record is from RNAcentral.
CCAGACUCCUACGGGAGGCAGCAGUGAGGAAUAUUGGUCAAUGGGCUAAGGCCUGAACCAGCCAAGUCGCGUGAGGGAAGACGGUCCUAUGGAUUGUAAACCUCUUUUGUCGGGGAGCAGCGAGGCCACGUGUGGCCGAAGUGAGAGUACCCGAAGAAAAAGCAUCGGCUAACUCCGUGCCAGCAGCCGCGGUAAUACGGAGGAUGCGAGCGUUAUCCGGAUUUAUUGGGUUUAAAGGGUGCGUAGGCGGAACAUUAAGUCAGCGGUAAAAUCGAGGGGCUCAACCCCUUUAAGCCGUUGAAACUGGUGAUCUUGAGUGGGCGAGAAGUAUGCGGAAUGCGUGGUGUAGCGGUGAAAUGCAUAGAUAUCACGCAGAACUCCGAUUGCGAAGGCAGCUUACUAAACUAUAACUGACACUGAAGCACGAAAGCGUGGGGAUCAAACAGGAUUAGAUACCCGCGUAUCA